This 772-nucleotide ribosomal RNA is filed under the name uncultured bacterium. RNAcentral describes it as "bacterial SSU rRNA". It matches the Rfam family "Bacterial small subunit ribosomal RNA", at positions 8 to 796 of the family's 1533-position model. The record is from RNAcentral.
AGAGUUUGAUCCUGGCUCAGAGCAAACGCUGGCGGCGUGCCUAAUACAUGCAAGUCGAACGGGGAAAGUAGCAAUACGAGUACUAGUGGCGCACGGGUGAGGAACACGUGGGUAAUCUGCCUUCGAGCGGGGGAUAACUAAUCGAAAGAUUGGCUAAUACCGCAUAAGACCACAGGAUCUGCGGAUCUAGGGGUCAAAGCCGCAAGGCACUUGAAGAUGAGCCCGCGUAAGAUUAGCUAGUUGGUGGGGUAAUGGCUCACCAAGGCGAUGAUCUUUAGCUGGUCUGAGAGGAUGAUCAGCCACACUGGAACUGAGACACGGUCCAGACUCCUACGGGAGGCAGCAGUAGGGAAUAUUGCGCAAUGGGGGCAACCCUGACGCAGCGACGCCGCGUGAGUGAUGAAGGCCUUCGGGUCGUAAAGCUCUGUUAUAUGGGAAUAAGAUCUGAAUGUACCAUGUGAGAAAGGAUCGGCUAACUUCGUGCCAGCAGCCGCGGUAAGACGAGGGAUCCUAGCGUUGCUCGGAAUCAUUGGGCGUAAAGCGGGUGUAGGUGGCUUUGUAAGUCAGGUGUGAAAGCCCAGGGCUCAACCCUGGAAGUGCAUUUGAUACUGCGAAGCUUGAGUGUGGGAGAGGCUACUGGAAUACCUAGUGUAGUGGUGAAAUACGUAGAUAUUAGGUGGAACACCGGAGGCGAAGGCGGGUAGCUGGCCCAACACUGACACUCAGACCCGAAAGCGUGGGGAUCAAACAGGAUUAGAUACCCUGGUAGUCC